Molecule: long non-coding RNA, 759 nt
Filed under: Anas platyrhynchos platyrhynchos (common mallard)
Lineage: Eukaryota; Metazoa; Chordata; Aves; Anseriformes; Anatidae
Description: lncRNA (ENSAPLG00000019143.1)
Source: RNAcentral
AUUCAAUGAGAGCAGCCUGAUGGAUAGUUCCAUUCACAUGAUGCAGAAAAUCUUUUUUCACUUUUCCAUUAAUGUUUCCCCAGAUAAGACUAGUUGAUGUAGGAGUGAAUCUUUUCUGGCAGGAAAACGUCAUGUAGUGAGGCUCAUUUUAACUGUUAGAGGAAAAGGGCAUUGCCUUUUCUUCAGGAACUGAACAAAGCAUGCAGUCUCCCAGUUUAUCUAGGAUGUGAAUAAGAUCCAUGCUAGCUGUUGAUGCCUUCAAAACACACAAGAUCUAAACAAGAUUUUGAUGGAGAGAUAUGGAGUAAGAAUACUUGUCAGAGUAUUUUAUCAGUUAUUUCACCCUAAGUAAUGAUCUUAAUUUUCUUUCUGUAUUGUUGAAAUUAUACAAAAGAAGCACCUGCCUGAAGGAGGUGUGUUGAUCAAGUCUUGAGGCUCCAGCCUCCUGUGUGGAGGUUUCCUCACCUGCAGCCUGGUCUGCCUGAUGGCUGGGCUGUUGGCUGCUUACAGGUCAGCUGUCAGCACCAGGAGAUCACCGGCUGAAGCUCAUCAGUUAUCCACAGAAAUGAUGUGGCACGUCUUGUCCAAAACCCCUUCUGAUGGUGAGAGGAGAAACUGGCAACCUGAGAACAUUUUGAGAGCCUGUCCCUCCUGUAAAGCUGACAGUAGUGAUGUCUGCCGAAGGAUUCACUGGUGUCUUGAGCAUGUCUAUUUAUAUACAUUAAAACCCGCCAUCUAUUUAUAUUAAUAAAAGAAUCC